CCAGAGCCAGCAUUGGCAACCCGCUGGGGUCCCCUUCCACACUGCGGAAGCUUUGUUCUUUCGCUCUUUGCAGUAAAUCUUGCUACUUCUCACUCUUUGGGUUCACGCUGCUUUUAUGAGCUGUAACACUCACUGCGAAGAUCUGCAGCUUCACUCCUGAGCGAGCGAGACCACGAACCCACCAGAAGGAAGAAACUCCGAACACAUCUGAACAUCAGAAGGGACAGACUCCAGACGCGCCACCUUAAGAGCUGUAACACUCACCGCGAGGGUCCGCGGCUUCAUUCUUGAAGUCAGUGAGAGCAAGAACCCACCAAUUCCGGACACACUAGCAUGUUAUUGUACUGAAUACUGAAGGAAACUGCAACACAAUGGUCUUCAGAAUACCAGUUAUGCUGGGAAGCACAGCAGACUGUUCUCAUCAAAGAAGAACUUAUCAUAAAUUAUUUUACCGGUAGCUGAAAAGCAAGCCGAGGGAGACUCUGAGAGCUGUAGCAGCAUGCUAGAUGAUGGAAUAGCAGUGCCCUGGGCAGCAGAAGAAAGUCCUGAGACAGAACACCCAGGACAGCAUACUUACCAUGGCUUCCCUGUCUCACAAGAUUCAUCCACAUCGAACUGCCCAAGAACAAAUGUACCACGGGCUAAUCUGGAGGGGUGAGUGUUUAUGUUUCACAGAAGGAAUGAAUACUUCCUCUGUGCACGAAUACACUUCCUCUGUGCACGGUGAAGUGGACCUUCAAAUAAGGAUUUUAAACAUCUCUUUUUGCAGGAAAUCCUUAGUAGCAAUUAGAAUUUUUAACCUUUGAGAGACUGCACAGGGCAGAAAAUUACUGCUCUUGUCUAGAUCAUUGAAGCAUCAGUGAACUUCUGCUGAUGUCAGGAAUGUGAGCUGAUGGGUAGAAAUGGCGAAGAACUCUCAUAAUCAUAGGAGGAGAGAGCUUAAGUUUGUGCUUCAGUAAGCAAGCACAUUAGAUAGACUUAUCUUUUUGGGUCAGGUACCUUUCAAUGACACGCUCUACCCUCAAAAUAAAUAAAUAAGUAAAUGAAUGAAUGAAUAAAUAAAUAAAUAAAGUGCUUCCCUUGUAAAGAAAAAUAGUCCACAACCUCUAACAGAAAAAUGAGGGCAAUUCACUUGACCAACAAGAUUCACCACUCACUGAGGACUAACAGCCUGUCCUCAACCACCUGUGUGUAUCUCUCAUUGACUUCCUUGGGUGAGAUGGGAGUGCUGACCUUUAUUAUUACUGCUGCGAUAUUUAUUCUUGAAUAACAGAUUUUCUUGUAUGAGUCACACACAGGUUCUUCUUUUCUUCCCCACAGUAACACCAGAAUUAUUCAUUUGCAUCUCUGUUGCCAUGGGAAAAUGAACAUUGUGAAAAGCAGUCAGGAUUAUGAGUUUAAGGCAAAAUCUAGUAGUAAGGAACAAAGAAAACUCAGGCUGAAAAUAUACACACAGCACAACUAAUAUUACAGAAAAAUGACAACUUAAAAAUAACAAGAAAAAGAAAAUUAAAUUCCAAUGAAUCUUUGACCUUUUGAGUAAAAUACUCUGAGUUUCAAAACUAUUUUUCAGGGUUUUAUUUUUUUUUUCUAGUAGAAAAACACCCUGACGCUCAGGAAUAAAGUAGACAUGCUAUUUUCACCCCCUGGUACAUGGCUGGCAGACAGAAAGGCCAUUGUGUGCCAAAUAGCAGAUAAUUGGAUCCUAUCUACACUGGGAACCUGCUAGGUCAUUAGCAGACUUUUCAUUUGGAAAUAGACAUGGCUAUUUAAGAGGAGCAGGGAACAAGAAUAAAAUACCAACUCUUCUGUGUUUAGCUUAGUUGGGCAAGAGGGUUUGUGUUUGGAUCCAGGUCAUUUUAUUCCCAAUUCCUCAAGUACCAUAGUACUGUGCACAGAAAACACAUUUCAACGGAGAGGGAUAAGAUGAAAGGUAGAGAGACAUAAAGACUUAGAGAGACGGGGACAUGUUGAGAUAUAAAGAAGUGAAUUGAGAGCAUAAAAGGAGAAAAAAGGAAAGAAGGAGGAAGAAAUGGGAAGAGAGGAAAGCAUAAGAAAAAGAAAUAAGGAUUAAAGAAUAAGAAGUACACAGAGAAAUGCAUGAAAGAAAAUUUGAAUGAUAAAGAGAACACAAGGAAAAAAAUCUGCCUUCAAUAAGAAACUUCACCUAAAAAGGUCAGGGCAAAUUAGGGAAAGGAGAACCAUGGUGAGAGGGAAAUAAGUGCUGUGGAACACUAUUAUGGAUACUUAGAUUCAUUAUAUUGUCCAUAUAAAUGAGGUUUCCUUAUCUAGACACAAGCUUUAUUUGGGAGCAGAUGGCAAUGCUGCUGGGUGACAUUUAUAUGUAAGAAAUUUGUUUCAAUAUUGCCCUCUCCUUUUAUAUUUAAGCUCAAUGAACUUGAGGAUUUUCUGACAUCUUGAUCCUUGCUUCUCAUUGGACUUCAUUCAUUUGAGUUUGCAAUUUCUAGAUCACUAGGCUGUAAUUUGUAACCUGCCUAUUGCUGAGAGGGGGUGAUGCUGUACAGGAAAGAGAAGGCAGAGCUGGAAGGUGGGAGACCCAGAAUCAGUCCCAGCAGUACCUCUAAGUAAAUAGGACAUUAGGAGAGGCCAAGAGCAAACAGGGCCCAAUUUCUUUUUUCUUUCUUUCCCUUUCCUUCCUUCCUUCCUUCUUUCCUUCCUUCCUUCCUUCCUUCCUUCCUUCAUUCCUCCCACCUUCCCUCCUCCCGCCUCCCUCCCUUCCUCCCUCCCUCCCCCUUUCCGUUCCUUUCCUUUCCUUUCCUUCCUGUUCCUGUUCCUGUUCUUUUCGAAAGAGGGUUUUACUCUGUAGCUCAGGCUGGAGUGCAGUGGUGCAAUCACAGUUCACUGCAGCCUCAGCCUCCCCUCCUGGGUUCAUGCUCUCCUCCCACCUCAGCCUCCCAAGUAGCUGGGCCUACAGGUGUGUGCCACCACACCCAGCUACUGUUUUGUAAUUUUUGUAGAAAGGAGGUUUCAUUAUGUUGUCUAGGCUGGUCUCAAACUCCUGGGCCCAAGCAAUUCACCUACCUCGGCAUUCUAAAGUGCUGGGAUUACGGGCGUGAACAACCAUGCCCUGACAGGGCUCAAUUUCUACCCCCAGGCUAUACACACUUGUAUAGUCUGUGGACACUACUGCUCUAGGAUCAGAGAAAAAGAUUAGCAGUGAUUUUUGCUCCAUGUAAUUAGAAUAGUUGUGUCUGAUGGUUAAGGAAAAUAUAUAGUGGAGGAGGAAUAACUGGUCUGUUUAGGGUCAAGUAAGAUAAAGUUGCCCCAUUCAAUAGCUGACAGGGAGGUUGAAAUGAAAUUUUGAUCUUAGGUAAAAGUGCAUAUAAAAGAAAAGAUUGUUAAUAUUAUUGCUUUGUGAUGUUUAUUAGUUGAAAUUAAUAUUUCUGCAACAUAUAGCACUUUCUAUGAAAUCUAUCCUAUUGAAGCAUUUACCACUUUCUACUCUGGAUACUAGUUAUUGAUGGCCAUGCUUCACCUCGUCUGCUAUACUGUAGGGCCCUCCAGUGAACAAUCUGUGUCUGAUGAAUCUUUUACCUCUCAAAGCAUUUAAAAAGAGCUUCAUGCACAGUAAGAACUUAGUUUACAUUUGGUGUAUAAAUGACAGGAACAAUGAAGGAAGUCUUUCUAAGUCAGAAUGUGAAGACUCAAGCUUUGGGUUUUAAUAUUGAGGUUAUAGAGUUGAGAACACAGUGUUCAAGCCUUAGAAGUUGAAUAGCUAAUAUUCUGAGCCAUUAUUUAUAAUUAUUAAUUAUUCAUUGCCUAUUAUGUGCUAGGAACUUUACAGCAGUUACCUUUUCUUCUUGCAUUAGCACUGCAAGGUAGCAGUCACUACCUGCAUUUUACAGAUGAGGAAACAGGAGAUUAAGUAAUUUUUCCAAAGUGAUAAAAUGAGUAAACGGCAGAGGCAAAGGAGCUGAAGUCAAACUCAGGGUUCCUGGUCCAUUAUUAUUAGACCCCAGCAUCCCACUGCUGAUCACACGAGGAGCUAUGAAACUUUCCUGUUAAAUCUACUCUCCAGAGAGAGCUCUCCAGGCCUAGAUGUCCAGAAAUGGCCAUUGGCAGGAAAAAAAUGACAGACAAACUUGGCUAUAACUGUGGGCUUUGGGUAAAUUACUAAGCUCCUAUGGUAUUUAUUUCCUCCUCUGCACAUAAUGCUGCUCUGUAAGUAACAAUACUUCUUUCACAUCCAUUGGGUGUCUUUUUAUAUAAGGUUGAGAUGAGAUGUUUGAAAAUCUUGUAGAACUGUGCUUCCCACAUGAUAGGCAUCUAAUAAAUGCCAUUCUAACCUGAAUUUCUGCAGAAGUAAAAUGGAAUUUAUGGCACCAAAAUGAUAAUGAGGAGAAAGUUUCUUUCCCUGAGCCUUUCGGAGCAUGUAUUUGACUGUUCCUCCACCUCUGUCCUUACCUCAGGCAAACCUUAUCUAAUCAUCGUAUUCAUUUACUGAUGCAGAUAGCUGCCCAUUGAGAGGAUCCUCUUGAAAAGGACCCUCAUAGAUUGUGAGCUCUAGGUGAACUCUUCCACACUGUUCAGACUUACUCCCCUCUGUAAGGCAGUCCACAUCCCCAAGAAUUAGAAAAUAGUGCUUUUUAGAAAAGAUCACCUUGGCCACAUAUCCACUCUCACUCUUACUACUAUUACCAUUAUUACUGAUAGUAGCCAACAUUGAUCAAACACUUAAAAUGAAUCGAACAUUGUCUCAAAUCCUUUAUGUUUUAUUAAAUCAUCAUAACAAACUUACGGGGUAUGUGUUAUUCUUAUCAUUUUACAAAUACGGAACCUGAGGUUUACAUCCUUUGUCAAAGCAUUGCAUACUCUCAGCGUAGCAAGGUUAGAUUGACUCCCAGAAAAGCUGCUCCAUAAAAUGAAUAUAAGAAUAUGCAGGACGGGCGCGGUGGCUCACGCCUAUAAUUCCAGCACUUUGGGAGGCCGAGGUGGGCGGAUCACCUGAAGUCGGGAGUUCGAGACCAGCCUGGUCAACAUAGGGAAACACUGUCUCUACUAAAAACACAAAAUUAGCCUGGCGUGGUGGCACAUGGCUGUAAUUCCAGCUACUCUGGAGGCUGAGGCAGGAGAAUUGCUUGAACCUGGGAGGUGGAGGUUGCAGUGAGCUGAGACAGUG
Molecule: long non-coding RNA, 5140 nt
Filed under: Homo sapiens (human)
Lineage: Eukaryota; Metazoa; Chordata; Mammalia; Primates; Hominidae
Description: HSALNT0064302
Source: RNAcentral